UCUUUUUUUUCCUUUUCCUUUUUUUUUUUUAGAAACAGGCCCUGGCUCUGCUGCUCAGGCUGGAGUGCAGUGGUGCAAUCAUAGCUGACCAAAGCCUCGAACUCCUGGGCUCAAGUGAUCCUCCAGCCUCAGCCUCCCAAAGCACUAGGAUUACAGGAGUGAGCCACUGCGCCCAGCUCUCUUUUCUUUUCUUUUUAUUUUUGAGACAGGGUCUCAGUCUGUUGUCCAGGACGGAGUGCAGUCGUGCAAACACAGCUCACUGCAGCCUCCACCUCCUGAGCUCAGGUCCUCCCACCGCAGCCUCCCAAGUAGCUGGGCUCCAGGCGUGUGCCACCAUGCCUGGCUAAUUUUUGUAGUUUUUUGUAGAGAUGGGGUUUCACCCUGUUGCCCAGGCUGAUCUUGAACUCCUGGGCUCAAGUGAUCUACCUGCCUUGGCCUCCCAAAGUGCUGAGAUGACAGCGCUUUGCUGGGAUUAGCCACGGUGCCACACCCUGGCUCCAUUUCCAAAAUUAAACUUGUAACAAAGUAAAAGAAAACUAAAGUUUAGAAAAAGUGUACCUCUUGCUUCCGAAGCCACGAUUACUUUGAGUUGAGCACUUUACCAAUGGGAUCUCAUUUAAACUUCAGAUAAAUCGUAUUGGAAAGGUUUAUUCCCAUUUUCAGAUGGAGAGAAUGAGGUUGAAUUUAACAUCACACAGCUUGGAAAUGGCAGAGCCAGGAUUCAAACUCCAGCCCAGCCUGGCCCAGAGACAAGCUUGUAACCACAGCAUCCUCACGCCUGCCAGAGAGAACAUGAGUCCAGCUGUGGCAGCCACAGUGGUCAUAGCUUAAAGGGAAGGUAAGGGCCAAAGUGUGCAAGGCCUGGAAUGCCAGCUAGAGGAAUGAGGCCUGGGUGGCAGAGAAGGCCUAGAGUCUCCUCCAUCUCUUCAUGACAGUCAGAAAUUCUGACUUUCUCAGUUUAGUUUGGGUAACAGUUCUGUAUUGGUUAGCAUCCUGGCAGGGAACAGAUGGCACAUUUAAAAUGGACAAUUUGGCUGGGCCCGGUGGCUCUCACCUGUAAUCCCAGCACUUUGGGAGGCCAAGGUGGGCAGAUCACUUGCGGUCAGGAGUUUGAGACCAGCCUGGCCAACAUGACGAAAUCUCGUCUCUACUAAAAAUACAAAAAUUAGCCAGGUGUGGUGGUGGGUGCUUGUAAUCCCAGCUACUCGGGAGGCUGAGGCAGGAGAAUCGCUUGAAUCCAGGAGGUGGAGGCUAAUUUUUGUAUUUUUUAGUAGAGAUGGGGUUUUACCAUAUUGGCCAGGAUGGUCUCGAUCUCCUGACCUCGUGAUCUGCCCGCCUCGGCCUCCCAAAGUGCUAGGAUUACAGGCGUGAGCCACCGCGCCCGGCCGUAUAUAUAUAUACCACAUUUUGUUUAUCCAUUCAUCCAUCAGUGAACAUUUAGGUUGCUUCCACCUGUUGGCUAUUGUGAAUAAUGCUGCCAUGAACACGGGGCACACUUUCUUUUCUUUUCUUUUUUUUUUCUUGAGACGGAGUCUCGCACUGUCGCCCAGGCUGGAGUGCAGUGGCGCGAUCUCGGCUCGCUGCAAGCUCUGCCCUCUGCCUCCCAGGUUCACGC
Molecule: long non-coding RNA, 1615 nt
Filed under: Homo sapiens (human)
Lineage: Eukaryota; Metazoa; Chordata; Mammalia; Primates; Hominidae
Description: HSALNT0236101
Source: RNAcentral